Molecule: ribosomal RNA, 797 nt
Filed under: uncultured bacterium
Lineage: Bacteria
Description: bacterial SSU rRNA
Rfam family: Bacterial small subunit ribosomal RNA
Source: RNAcentral
CCGGAAUUAUUGGGCGUAAAGAGUGAGCAGGCGGCAGUUUAAGUCUGGAGUGAAAGCGUGAGGCUCAACCUCAUACAGCUUCAGAAACUGAACAGCUAGAGUACGGGAGAAGUAAGUGGAACUCCAUGUGUAGCGGUGAAAUGCGUAGAUAUAUGGAAGAACACCAGUGGCGAAGGCGACUUACUAGCCCGAGACUGACGCUCAGUCACGAAAGCGUGGGUAGCAAAUAGGAUUAGAUACCCUAGUAGUCCACGCUGUAAACGAUGAAAACUAAGUAUUGCCGCGAGGCAGUGCUGUAGCUAACGCAUUAAGUUUUCCGCCUGGGGAGUACGCUCGCAAGAGUGAAACUUAAAGGAAUUGACGGGGGCCCGCACAAGCAGUGGAGCAUGUGGUUUAAUUCGACGCUACGCGAAGAACCUUACCAGGACUUGACAUGGAAUUUAAAACUUUAGAAAUAGAGCCAUAUACAAGUUCACACAGGUGGUGCAUGGUUGUCGUCAGCUCGUGUCGUGAGAUGUUGGGUUAAGUCCCGCAACGAGCGCAACCCUUGUGAUCAGUUACUAACGCGCAAUGGCGAGGACUCUGAUCAGACCGCCGGGGAUAACUCGGAGGAAGGUGGGGACGACGUCAAAUCAUCAUGCCCCUUAUAACCUGGGCUACACACGUGCUACAAUGGCUACGGACAAAGAGAAGCGAAGCCGCAAGGCGGAGCGAAUCUCAUAAAAGUAGUCUCAGUUCGGAUUGUGGGCUGCAACCCGCCCACAUGAAGUCAGAGUUGCUAGUAAUCGCGAAUCAGC